Molecule: transfer RNA, 62 nt
Filed under: Breviscolex orientalis
Lineage: Eukaryota; Metazoa; Platyhelminthes; Cestoda; Caryophyllidea; Capingentidae
Description: tRNA-Pro
Source: RNAcentral
CAUAUCCUAGUUUAGUAAGAAUUGUGGUUUUGGGGACCACGGGGCCAGUAUUGGGGGUUUGG